Molecule: long non-coding RNA, 1129 nt
Filed under: Leptinotarsa decemlineata (Colorado potato beetle)
Lineage: Eukaryota; Metazoa; Arthropoda; Insecta; Coleoptera; Chrysomelidae
Description: uncharacterized LOC111504878, transcript variant X2
Source: RNAcentral
UAGGAAAAAGAUUUGGCUCAGGUUAUAAAAUUACAAAGUGGUAUCUAUUGAACAGUUCACAUGUUUCCUUUGAGACAAAAAUGUUUCCUAGAUUUGAAACCUGGAUUUCUGUGGAAUUACUAUUUGACGGAAGAAAUAAUCAUUCAAUUAAUUUUUCUGAGGCUGGAAUACAAAAUAAACACUUACUUUAUAUACCAAAAAAUGUAUUUGAACUUUUAUUUGACUGAGGUCUUAUUAUUUUACUAUUUUACUGGCAACGCUGUAAUAGCGCCACUGUUAGUAUUGCAUCAAAUCAGUCAGACAGCCGUGGAUUUGAAAGAGUUACUUCUACACUCAGUAGGACGUCUGUUUGUAAAAAAUUUUAUAUUGGGAACCAAUUAUUGUCUGUGCUUGGUUGGCGUUAUUGUGUAUAAUGAAGUUGGAUAUCAGACAUCUUGAAACUUAAAACUUCUGGAAGGAAUUUUACUGGUGUAUCUAUAUAGAAAACGCUAGCAAUUUCUAUAAAAGGUAUCCUACAUCACAUUCAGUAGUCCUGUUAUACAUCGCACUAGUGCAUUAUUCAGUUUCUGUGGCAAUUGUUCCUCUGGUGGAAAUUUGAAAAAUGCAUUGAAAAGUGGAUAAGCUAUCGAUUUGGCUCCGGAAGUAAUCAAGGCUGAAAGAUCUACAAACAUAAAUUACUCGUGGCGGGCAGUACAUAAUAGACGAGUACCAGAAGAAUAAACUGUUGACUGACAGAAGCAGAAACAUAGCUGCAAAUGUGCUUUAUGAAAAAUAUGGGAGUGCAGUACCCAAGAGUGCAAAAAUGGAGUGCGCAAAAAAAUUAGUUGAUAUUUUCCCACUGUACACAAAUUCGGAAAGUUCUUCAGGGGAUUACGUAUCCUGAAAAUCGACUGACAAUUUUAAAUAGAAUAAGUAAAAUAGAGAUAAACAAUCCUCCUGCCAACCACCUUCAUGACCAGAAUGUUUCGAUAACAUCAGAGGAAAUUAAUCUUACUAAAGAACUCCAAAAUCUGUUUUUAUUUAAUAAUAUUCUUAAGUUUGAAUUAUUGAUAUUUUGGUAUCAGACCAAUUGUCAACAAAAAUCAUGUCAGUUAGGUUUUCUAUUAUUUCUAAUAAACGUUAUUUUUAU